UAAGGACUGCAGGAGCUCACCCCACAUCAAUUGAAUGCAAAUCAAUCACUUUAAUUAAGCUAAGUCCUU
Molecule: transfer RNA, 69 nt
Filed under: Nyctereutes procyonoides (raccoon dog)
Lineage: Eukaryota; Metazoa; Chordata; Mammalia; Carnivora; Canidae
Description: tRNA-Ala
Source: RNAcentral